CUUCGGGAACCGUGAGACAGGUGCUGCAUGGCUGUCGUCAGCUCGUGUUGUGAAAUGUUGGGUUAAGUCCCGCAACGAGCGCAACCCUUAUCCUUUGUUGCCAGCGAUUAGGUCGGGAACUCAAAGGAGACUGCCAGUGAUAAACUGGAGGAAGGUGGGGAUGACGUCAAGUCAUCAUGGCCCUUACGACCAGGGCUACACACGUGCUACAAUGGCGCAUACAAAGAGAAGCGACCUCGCGAGAGCAAGCGGACCUCAUAAAGUGCGUCGUAGUCCGGAUUGGAGUCUGCAACUCGACUCCAUGAAGUCGGAAUCGCUAGUAAUCGUGGAUCAGAAUGCCACGGUGAAUACGUUCCCGGGCCUUGUACACACCGCCCGUCACACCAUGGGAGUGGGUUGCAAAAGAAGUAGGUAGCUUAACCUUCGGGAGGGCGCUUACCACUUUGUGAUUCAUGACUGGGGUGAAGUCGUAACAAGGUAACCGUAGGGGAACCUGCGGUUGGA
Molecule: ribosomal RNA, 504 nt
Filed under: Salmonella enterica
Lineage: Bacteria; Pseudomonadati; Pseudomonadota; Gammaproteobacteria; Enterobacterales; Enterobacteriaceae
Also listed under: 1 other name
Description: bacterial SSU rRNA
Rfam family: Bacterial small subunit ribosomal RNA
Source: RNAcentral